Molecule: ribosomal RNA, 119 nt
Filed under: Planocera reticulata
Lineage: Eukaryota; Metazoa; Platyhelminthes; Polycladida; Planoceridae
Source: RNAcentral
GAUAGCGUCCAUACCACACUGAAAACACCGGUUCUCGUCCGAUCACCGCAGUUAAGCAGUGUCGGGCCCAGUUAGUACUUGGAUGGGUGACCGCCUGGGAAUACUGGGUGUCGCUACCU